This 515-nucleotide ribosomal RNA is filed under the name uncultured archaeon. Its description in RNAcentral is "bacterial SSU rRNA". It matches the Rfam family "Archaeal small subunit ribosomal RNA", at positions 345 to 859 of the family's 1478-position model. The record is from RNAcentral.
AACCUUUACACUGCACGACAGUGCGAUAAGGGAAUCCCAAGUGCGUAGGCAUAGAGCCUACGCUUUUGUCCACCGUAGGGAGGUGGACGAAUAAGGGCUGGGCAAGACCGGUGCCAGCCGCCGCGGUAAUACCGGCAGCCCGAGUGAUGGCCGAUCUUAUUGGGCCUAAAGCGUCCGUAGCUGGCCGCGCAAGUCUAUCGGAAAAUCCACCCGCUCAACGGGUGGGCGUCCGGUAGAAACUGCGUGGCUUGGGACCGGAAGGCGCGAUGGGUACGUCCGGGGUAGGAGUGAAAUCCCGUAAUCCUGGACGGACCGCCGAUGGCGAAAGCACGUCGCGAAGACGGAUCCGACAGUGAGGGACGAAAGCUAGGGUCUCGAACCGGAUUAGAUACCCGGGUAGUCCUAGCCGUAAACAAUGCCUGCUAGGUGUGGCUCCCACUACGAGUGGGUGCUGUGCCGUAGGGAAGCCGCUAAGCAGGCCGCCUGGGAAGUACGUCCGCAAGGAUGAAACUUAA